Molecule: ribosomal RNA, 416 nt
Filed under: uncultured bacterium
Lineage: Bacteria
Description: bacterial SSU rRNA
Rfam family: Bacterial small subunit ribosomal RNA
Source: RNAcentral
UGAUGACGACUGGCGCACGGGUGAGUAACGCGUAUCCAACCUUCCCAUAACUACGGGAUAACCCGUUGAAAGACGGCCUAAUACCGUAUGAUAUCGUUUGCUGACAUCAAAUAACGAUUAAAGGUUUAGCGGUUAUGGAUGGGGAUGCGUCUGAUUAGCUUGUUGGCGGGGUAACGGCCCACCAAGGCUACGAUCAGUAGGGGUUCUGAGAGGAAGGUCCCCCACAUUGGAACUGAGACACGGUCCAAACUCCUACGGGAGGCAGCAGUGAGGAAUAUUGGUCAAUGGGCGAGAGCCUGAACCAGCCAAGUAGCGUGCAGGACGACGGCCCUAUGGGUUGUAAACUGCUUUUAUGUGGGGAUAAAGUGCGUGACGUGUCAUGCAUUGCAGGUACCACAUGAAUAAGGACCGGCUAA